RNAcentral lists this ribosomal RNA (526 nucleotides) under uncultured bacterium. Its description in RNAcentral is "partial 16S ribosomal RNA". It matches the Rfam family "Bacterial small subunit ribosomal RNA", at positions 355 to 874 of the family's 1533-position model. The record is from RNAcentral.
UGGGGAAUUUUGGACAAUGGGCGAAAGCCUGAUCCAGCAAUGCCGCGUGUGUGAAGAAGGCCUUCGGGCUGUAAAGCACUUUUGUCCGGAAAGAAAUCCUUGGCUCUAAUACAGUCGGGGGAUGACGGUACCGGAAGAAUAAGCACCGGCUAACUACGUGCCAGCAGCCGCGGUAAUACGUAGGGUGCAAGCGUUAAUCGGAAUUACUGGGCGUAAAGCGUGCGCAGGCGGUUUGCUAAGACCGAUGUGAAAUCCCCGGGCUCAACCUGGGAACUGCAUUGGUGACUGGCAGGCUAGAGUAUGGCAGAGGGGGGUAGAAUUCCACGUGUAGCAGUGAAAUGCGUAGAGAUGUGGAGGAAUACCGAUGGCGAAGGCAGCCCCCUGGGCCAAUACUGACGCUCAUGCACGAAAGCGUGGGGAGCAAACAGGAUUAGAUACCCUGGUAGUCCACGCCCUAAACGAUGUCAACUAGUUGUUGGGGAUUCAUUUCCUUAGUAACGUAGCUAACGCGUGAAGUUGACCGCCU